Molecule: ribosomal RNA, 532 nt
Filed under: Alloeocranum arboricolum
Lineage: Eukaryota; Metazoa; Arthropoda; Insecta; Hemiptera; Reduviidae
Description: partial 16S ribosomal RNA
Rfam family: Bacterial large subunit ribosomal RNA
Source: RNAcentral
CAAAAACAUGUCCUUUUGUUGGUUUAUAUAAGGUCUUACCUGCCCAAUGAGUGUUUGAAUGGCCGCGGUAUUUUAACUGUGCUAAGGUAGCAUAAUCAUUUGUCUUCUAAUUAAGGGCUGGAAUGAAAGGUUGGACGAGAUAUUGACUUUCUUUAAUUUAAUGUAAGAAUUUAAUUUUUUAGUUAAAAAGCUAAAAUUUUUUUAAAGGACGAGAAGACCCUAUAGAUCUUUAUAUAAUUAUUUAUUUUAGAGUUUUGUGAAUUUUUUUUCUAAUAUUUUAUUUGUAUUUUGUUGGGGUGACUGCAGAAUUUCUAUAACUUCUGUUUUAUUAUUUCAUUAAUUUAUGUUUUAAUGGUCCAAUUUUAUUGAUUAUAAGAUUAAGUUACCUUAGGGAUAACAGCGUAAUUUCUACGGAGAGGCCUUAUCGAUGUAGGAGUUUGCGACCUCGAUGUUGGAUUAAAAUAAGUGAUAAGUGUAGCAGUUUUUUAACUAGGUCUGUUCGACCUUUAAUUUUUUACAUGAUCUGAGUUCA